GCCGUCGUAGCUCAGCCUGGUUAGAGCACGGAGCUGAUAACUCCGGGGCCCCCGGUUCAAAUCCGGGCGUCGGCA
This 75-nucleotide transfer RNA is filed under the name Micromonospora craterilacus. It matches the Rfam family "tRNA". From Rfam's summary of the family: Transfer RNA (tRNA) molecules are approximately 80 nucleotides in length. Their secondary structure includes four short double-helical elements and three loops (D, anti-codon, and T loops). Further hydrogen bonds mediate the characteristic L-shaped molecular structure. tRNAs have two regions of fundamental functional importance: the anti-codon, which is responsible for specific mRNA codon recognition, and the 3' end, to which the tRNAs corresponding amino acid is attached (by aminoacyl-tRNA synthetases). tRNAs cope with the degeneracy of the genetic code in two manners: having more than one tRNA (with a specific anti-codon) for a particular amino acid; and 'wobble' base-pairing, i.e. permitting non-standard base-pairing at the 3rd anti-codon position. Lineage: Bacteria; Bacillati; Actinomycetota; Actinomycetes; Micromonosporales; Micromonosporaceae. The record is from Rfam by way of RNAcentral.